This 341-nucleotide ribosomal RNA is filed under the name Naididae sp. N6. RNAcentral describes it as "partial small subunit ribosomal RNA". It matches the Rfam family "Bacterial small subunit ribosomal RNA", at positions 875 to 1375 of the family's 1533-position model. Lineage: Eukaryota; Metazoa; Annelida; Clitellata; Tubificida; Naididae. The record is from RNAcentral.
UAUUCACGACAUAAACUUAACGCCGGUCAAUACGAACUACCGUUUAAAAUCUAAAGGUCUUGGCGGUGCCUCACCUACUCAGGGGAACCUGUUCCUUAAUUCGAUAAUCCACGACAAUCUUACCGGCGCUCGAAUCUCAGCUUGUGUACUGCCGUCUUAAGCACACCUAUAAAAGACAGUGUGCAAAAUCAUCAUCCUGAAAACGUCAGGUCAAAGUGCAGCCUAUGCAACGGUGGAGAUGGGUUACACCCUAAACUAAGAUACCAGCCCACGCAUGAAUAUGCGUGGAAAAGGUGGACUUGAGAGUAAUGUCUAAACCAAACAAAAAUGAAAUAGUAUCU